This 492-nucleotide ribosomal RNA is filed under the name uncultured bacterium. RNAcentral describes it as "partial 16S ribosomal RNA". It matches the Rfam family "Bacterial small subunit ribosomal RNA", at positions 29 to 507 of the family's 1533-position model. The record is from RNAcentral.
AGUGAACGCUGGCGGUAGGCCUAACACAUGCAAGUCGAACGGCAGCACAGUAAGAGCUUGCUCUUACGGGUGGCGAGUGGCGGACGGGUGAGGAAUACAUCGGAAUCUACUUUUUCGUGGGGGAUAACGUAGGGAAACUUACGCUAAUACAGCAUACGACCUACGGGUGAAAGCAGGGGAUCUUCGGACCUUGCGCGAUUGAAUGAGCCGAUGUCGGAUUAGCUAGUUGGCGGGGUAAAGGCCCACCAAGGCGACGAUCCGUAGCUGGUCUGAGCGGAUGAUCAGCGACACUGGAACUGAGACACGGUCCAGACUCCUACGGGAGGCAGCAGUGGGGAAUAUUGGACAAUGGGCGCAAGCCUGAUCCAGCCAUACCGCGUGGGUGAAGAAGGCCUUCGGGUUGUAAAGCCCUUUUGUUAGGAAAGAAAAGCAGCAGGUUAAUACCACGCUGUUCUGACGGUACCCAAAGAAUAAGCACCGGCUAACUUCGUG